UACAUGAGCUGUCUGACACCCAUGCAGUACUGACUAUAUGUGUAUAUUAUUCAUAGGUAUUAGGCAUAUGUACAAUAUAUGUUAUAUGUGUGUAUACACACAAAUCUGUAUGUAUAUAAACCAAUCCACCUUGCAAAUUGUCCAAAGGAGCAAAAGAUGCCAUGCUUUCUUGCAGUGUCUACUGGGAAUGUUAUAGGCAGGACAUGUCUAAGUGAAGUUCUGAUUUGGAGAUGGUGUCCUGAGCCAUGUCUUCCUCUGAAGAGGAGAGUGUCCAAGGGAGGAAAUGGGGUGACUGAACAAUAAUAAGGAAAGUAAGGAAAGCCUCAAAAAACCUAGACAAAGCAGACGGGUGCCCAGGGAAUGUAAGGAAGGAUGCUGCCACUUUAGAGGUAAGGGACCGAGGAAAGUUUAUGUCCCUUGAUCAGUGUUUGAAGAGACCAGUGGGGCCCGGGCUGUCUGUAGUCCUCUGGCUGCCCUUACCCAUGGCUUG
Molecule: long non-coding RNA, 490 nt
Filed under: Calidris pugnax (ruff)
Lineage: Eukaryota; Metazoa; Chordata; Aves; Charadriiformes; Scolopacidae
Description: lncRNA (ENSCPUG00000019458.1)
Source: RNAcentral